Molecule: ribosomal RNA, 1565 nt
Filed under: Dugong dugon (dugong)
Lineage: Eukaryota; Metazoa; Chordata; Mammalia; Sirenia; Dugongidae
Description: 16S ribosomal RNA
Rfam family: Bacterial large subunit ribosomal RNA (bases 79-1454)
Source: RNAcentral
ACCAACCCUAGCCCGACUCUCCCCAAAUAAAAUUAUCACAGCCAAUUAAAUCAAAACAUUUAUUUACUUACCAGAAGUAUAGGAGAUAGAAACUGAAAUCAGGCGCUAUAGAGAUAGUACCGCAAGGGAAAGAUGAAAGAUGAAGUCACAGUACAAAACAGCAAAGAUUACCCCUUCUACCUUUUGCAUAAUGAGUUAACUAGAAUGAUCUGACAAAGCGAACUGUAGCCAGAAGCCCCGAAAUCGGACGAGCUACCUGCGAGCAGUCCAAAGAACGAACUCAUCUAUGUGGCAAAAUAGUGAGAAGACUUGCAGGUAGAGGUGAAAAGCCAAUCGAGCCCGAUGAUAGCUGGUUGUCCAGAAUAGAAUUUUAGUUCUACCUAAAAUUUACCGAAGAGAAGCAUUUAAUCCCUAUGUAAAUUUUAGAGGUAUUCAAAAGAGGUACAGCUCUUUUGACAAAGGAUACAACCUUAACUAGAGAGUAAGCAUUUUAUAUCCCAUAGUAGGCCUAGAAGCAGCCACCAAUUAAGAAAGCGUUAAAGCUCAACGUUAUCAACCCUACUAAUACCCUUAAAACCAGCCAACUCCUAGACCUAAUACUGGACUAUUCUAUUAUUCAAUAGAAGAAAUAAUGUUAAUAUAAGUAACAAGAACUAUUUCUCCCCGCAUAAGCUUAUAUCAGAACGGAUGCCCACUGAUAGUUAACAAUUCAAUAAGCCAAAUCCACUAACCAGAACCUUAUUAUAUCUAUUGUUAACCCGACACAGGCAUGCUUGAAGGGAAAGAUUAAAAGAAGAAAAAGGAACUCGGCAAACACAGACCCCGCCUGUUUACCAAAAACAUCACCUCUAGCAUAUCAAGUAUUAGAGGCACUGCCUGCCCAGUGACAUACGUUAAACGGCCGCGGUACUCUGACCGUGCAAAGGUAGCAUAAUCAUUUGUUCCUUAAUUAGGGACUUGUAUGAACGGCCACACGAGGGUCUAACUGUCUCUUUCUUCCAAUCAGUGAAAUUGACCUCCCCGUGAAGAGGCGGGGAUAAACCUAUAAGACGAGAAGACCCUAUGGAGCUUAAAUUAAUUAGUUCAACCACAAAACAUAUACUACGGGGCCACCCAACAGUUUAAUGAACUAACAAUUUUGGUUGGGGUGACCUCGGAGAACAAAAAAACCUCCGAAUGAUACUAUAACCCAGACUUAACCAGUCGAAGUCCAUAAAUCACUUAUUGACCCAAUUAUUGAUCAACGGAACAAGUUACCCUAGGGAUAACAGCGCAAUCCUAUUUUAGAGUCCAUAUCGACAAUAGGGUUUACGACCUCGAUGUUGGAUCAGGACAUCCCAAUGGUGCAGCAGCUAUUAAAGGUUCUUUGGUUCAACGAUUAAAGUCCUACGUGAUCUGAGUUCAGACCGGAGCAAUCCAGGUCGGUUUCUAUCUAUAUACCAUUUCUCCCAGUACGAAAGGACAAGAGAAAUAGAGCCAACUCCCACAUGAAGCGCUCUAAACUUAAUUCUAUGAAUUAAUCUCAAUAUAAACAAGUUGAUUACCCCCGCCCAAGACCAGGGCCU